AAUUUUGGACAAUGGGGGAAACCCUGAUCCAGCCAUCCCGCGUGUAUGAUGAAGGCCUUCGGUUUGUAAAGUACUUUUGGCAGAGAAGAUAAGGUAUGUCUUAAUAGGAGAUACUGCUGGCGGUAGUUGCAGAAUAAGAACCGGCUAACUACGUGCCAGCCGCCGGGGUAAUACGUAGGGUGCAAGCGUUAAUCGGAAUUACUGGGCGUAAAGCGUGUGUAGGCGGUUCGGAAAGAAAGAUGUGAAAUCCCAGGGCUCAACCUUGGAACUGCAUUUUUAACUGCCGAGCUAGAGUAUGUCAGAGGGGGGUAGAAUUCCACGUGUAGCAGUGAAAUGCGUAGAUAUGUGGAGGAAUACCGAUGGCGAAGGCAGCCCCCUGGGAUAAUACUGACGCUCAGACACGAAAGCGUGGGGAGCAAACA
RNAcentral lists this ribosomal RNA (422 nucleotides) under uncultured bacterium. RNAcentral describes it as "partial 16S ribosomal RNA". It matches the Rfam family "Bacterial small subunit ribosomal RNA", at positions 360 to 774 of the family's 1533-position model. The record is from RNAcentral.